GUGCCAGCCGCCGCGGUAAUACGUAGGGGGCGAGCGUUGUCCGGAAUUCCUGGGCGUAAAGGGUGCGUAGGCGGCCCUUUAAGUCGGAUGUGAAAGCCCGCGGCUUAACCGCGGAAUGGCAUUCGAAACUGGAGGGCUUGAGUGUCGGAGAGGGUAGUGGAAUUCCCAGUGUAGCGGUGAAAUGCGUAGAUAUUGGGAGGAACACCAGUGGCGAAGGCGACUACCUGGACGAUAACCGACGCUGAGGCACGAAAGCUAGGGGAGCAAACAGGAUUAGAUGCCCUGGUAGUCCUAGCCGUAAACGAUGGGUACUAGGUGUAGGAGGUUUCGAUACCUUCUGUGCCGCAGCAAACGCAUUAAGUACCCCGCCUGGGGAGUACGGCCGCAAGGUUGAAACUCAAAGAAAUUGACGG
RNAcentral lists this ribosomal RNA (413 nucleotides) under uncultured bacterium. RNAcentral describes it as "bacterial SSU rRNA". It matches the Rfam family "Bacterial small subunit ribosomal RNA", at positions 505 to 916 of the family's 1533-position model. The record is from RNAcentral.